GAUAACACAGAUAUAGACAUUCGACUAUCAGUCGAUCACACCGACGUACAAUCGAAAAUUCUCAAUUGACUCCUUGAUGGGACUAAGGCAACCAUAAUGACUCAACCGAUGGUUAGUCAGUAUGCCAGAAUCUUCGAUCGAUGGUCAUUCAAGAUAUUUUGAAUACCGACAUAUGGUUGGCAUACUCAAACUGCCGACAUAAAGUCGACAUAUCAGAAACCGCUAGUGUAGAAAGAGCGCAAUGGCUACAUACCAUGACUAUCAGCGGUCAUUAAUUGCCCAUUCUAUGAUCAUAUAAUGCCGGAAUAAGCGAGAUCCAUAUGUCUAACCGUUACAAAUGGUUACCAAUAACUCGCCUAUAAAAGGGAAGUAAAUAAAUAGUAUUCGUAAGAUACUUUUGGACUAACACUUUAUCACUUUGAAUUUUUGAUCUGAUGUUUAUCAUUCCCUACUGACUUAAGUAUUGGAGGAUCUCCGUCGGAU
Molecule: long non-coding RNA, 483 nt
Filed under: Elaeis guineensis (African oil palm)
Lineage: Eukaryota; Viridiplantae; Streptophyta; Magnoliopsida; Arecales; Arecaceae
Description: long non-coding RNA (EGUI_LNC018825)
Source: RNAcentral